GGUGUUGUAGCUCAGUGGUAGAGCACUUGCCUAUGUGUGAGGCACUGGAUUCAAUUCUCAGCACCA
This 66-nucleotide transfer RNA is filed under the name Marmota monax (woodchuck). It matches the Rfam family "tRNA". Rfam says of the family: Transfer RNA (tRNA) molecules are approximately 80 nucleotides in length. Their secondary structure includes four short double-helical elements and three loops (D, anti-codon, and T loops). The record is from Rfam by way of RNAcentral. Lineage: Eukaryota; Metazoa; Chordata; Mammalia; Rodentia; Sciuridae. RNAcentral also lists the same sequence under 3 other names.